AUGAGCAUCAUCCACGAUUUUGGGCUGGCGUCAGGACUGAAAGUAAACCUGCAGAAAUCAUCGGUUGCUGCAAUUAGAUGCGAGCAAAUUAACCUACAGCAGGUGCUCCAGAAUUUUGGUGGGCAACAAGCUCAGUUCCCCCUACGAUACCUUGGGCUCCUAGUGACCCUCUCCAGGCUUCGCAUAGUACACUUACAAUUCAUCCUCGACCGGAUCAGAGCUCGCCUGGCAGGAUGGAAGGGACGUCUGCUAACCAUUGCGGGACGACGAGUGCUCGUUAGAAGUGUUCUGUCCACGCUACCCACCUUUGCCCCGACGGUACUGAAGGUGCCAAAGAAGCUGCUAGUUGAGAUAGACAAGAUCAAAAGACGUUUCCUCUGGGCACAAGACGAGAAGAUCAGUGGCGGCAAAUGCAAAGUGAGCUGGCCAGAGGUUUGCACUCCGAUCAUCAACGGCGGCCUUGGCAUCGCCAAUCUACAGCGAUUCAGCCGCGCAUUCAGGCUCCGAUGGCUGUGGCUCACCUGGCUCACACCAAACAGGCCCUAG
RNAcentral lists this ribosomal RNA (546 nucleotides) under Triticum aestivum (bread wheat). Its description in RNAcentral is "partial small subunit ribosomal RNA". The record is from RNAcentral. Lineage: Eukaryota; Viridiplantae; Streptophyta; Magnoliopsida; Poales; Poaceae.